Molecule: ribosomal RNA, 245 nt
Filed under: uncultured bacterium
Lineage: Bacteria
Description: partial 16S ribosomal RNA
Rfam family: Bacterial small subunit ribosomal RNA
Source: RNAcentral
UACGUAGGAGACGAGCGUUGUCCGGAGUUACUGGGCGUAAAGGGCGCGCAGGCGGCCGCCCGCGUGUGUGGUGAAAGCUCCUGGCUUAACUAGGAGAGGUCCAUGCAGACGGGGUGGCUUGAGCGUCGGAGAGGGGCAUGGAAUUCCGGGUGGAGCGGUGAAAUGCGUAGAGAUCCGGAGGAACACCAAUGGCGAAGGCAGUGCCCUGGCCGACGGCUGACGCUCAGGCGCGAAAGCGUGGGGAG